AUUUAAGUAGUUUAUAGAAAAUUUUGAUUUGUGGUAUCAAAGAAAUAAAUUUAUUUAUCUUAAAUU
RNAcentral lists this transfer RNA (66 nucleotides) under Indosialis bannaensis. RNAcentral's name for it is "tRNA-His". The record is from RNAcentral. Lineage: Eukaryota; Metazoa; Arthropoda; Insecta; Megaloptera; Sialidae.